Long non-coding RNA from Aethalodelphis obliquidens (Pacific white-sided dolphin), 623 nucleotides. RefSeq lists it as uncharacterized. The record is from RefSeq and is a predicted model, not a curated record. Lineage: Eukaryota; Metazoa; Chordata; Mammalia; Artiodactyla; Delphinidae. The transcript has 2 exons.
CGGCAAUGGGAGAGGCCGCAGCGGUGAGAGGCCCGCGUACCGCAAAAAACAGAAAAAAAAAAAAGACCAGCUUUGCUGCAGUUUUGGUUCAUGGGGCGCUCAAACAUGUUACUGAGCCCAAGCUCAUACUACUCGCCGCCCAACAGGCUAAUAAAUGGAGAGACGAGUUGUUGGGACAAGGAAUAGACAAUUUAUUCAGAAAGCCAGAAAACUGAGAAGAUGGCGGGCUCGUGCCCCAAAGAACCAUCUUGCCUGAGUUAGAAUUCAGGCUUUUUUUUUUUUUUUUUUUUCCUCUCCAGGCUUCUUUUAUACUGAAAGGGGAGGGCGUAAAGUCAAACACUUCCUGGUUCCCGUCAGCCUCUGGAGGGGAUGUGUUAUUCGUUCACAGGUGAGCCUGGCCAGCUAAACAAAGGAGCUACCAUCACCAUCCUGCCACCACAUGGAAUCUUGCAUGAAGCCAACAUGGUAGCAAUCACAGCUGAGAGAUGGAGGAAGAUUGGGAGCUGAUGACAUCAUUUGAGCCCCUGAAUGAAGCCAAUACAUUCUAUGUUUCUUAACGUGGUUUCUGUUACUUCCAAUUCAAAAUGUUCAAUAAAAGAUAAGUUAGAAACUCUUUUAACUGA